GGAUUAGAUACCCUGGUAGUCCACGCCGUAAACGAUGUCGACUUGGAGGUUGUGCCCUUGAGGCGUGGCUUCCGGAGCUAACGCGUUAAGUCGACCGCCUGGGGAGUACGGCCGCAAGGUUAAAACUCAAAUGAAUUGACGGGGGCCCGCACAAGCGGUGGAGCAUGUGGUUUAAUUCGAUGCAACGCGAAGAACCUUACCUGGUCUUGACAUCCACGGAAGUUUUCAGAGAUGAGAAUGUGCCUUCGGGAACCGUGAGACAGGUGCUGCAUGGCUGUCGUCAGCUCGUGCUG
RNAcentral lists this ribosomal RNA (293 nucleotides) under uncultured bacterium. RNAcentral's name for it is "partial 16S ribosomal RNA". It matches the Rfam family "Bacterial small subunit ribosomal RNA", at positions 775 to 1067 of the family's 1533-position model. The record is from RNAcentral.